This 387-nucleotide ribosomal RNA is filed under the name uncultured eukaryote. RNAcentral's name for it is "SSU rRNA". It matches the Rfam family "Eukaryotic small subunit ribosomal RNA", at positions 587 to 972 of the family's 1831-position model. The record is from RNAcentral.
AGCUCCAGUAGCGUAUAUUAAAGUUGUUGCAGUUAAAAAGCUCGUAGUUGGAUUUCUGGUAUGUCGGAACUGAUCCGCGGUUAAUAAUCGUGAGUAUUGGACUUCCGACUGCCAUCCUUCUAGAAAACGAUCUACCCUUCACUGGGCCGGAUUCGCGAUCUAGAACUUUUACUUUGAAGAAAUUAGAGUGUUCAAAGCAGGCUUGCGCUAUGAAUACAUUAGCAUGGAAUAAUAACUUAGGACUUCGGUCUUAUUUUGUUGGUUUCUAGGACUGAAGUAAUGAUUGAUAGGGAUAGUUGGGGGUGCUAGUAUUCAACGGCCAGAGGUGAAAUUCUUGGAUUCGUUGAAGACUUACUUAUGCGAAAGCAUUCACCAAGGAUGUCUUCU